Heterocephalus glaber (naked mole-rat) is the source of this 2290-nucleotide long non-coding RNA. Lineage: Eukaryota; Metazoa; Chordata; Mammalia; Rodentia; Bathyergidae. The record is from Ensembl.
CUUACAUCUAAAAUCUGUCCUUUCAAUCUCUUUAUAAGACCCCUUUAGUAAAAAGAAAGUCAUUAAUAGAGGAAAGGAGUUACAGUGUCAGGAAAACAGAGGGAGUUUUAGGAGGGGUUUCUUUAGAAGUGGGUGUGACAAUAGAACUAAGAGAAACAGGAAUUUGGGACUUUUGAGCCAGAUCAGAUUUCAAUACAACAUUGCCAAUUUGCAUCAUGGAGAAUAUGUUGUUAGUCACAAAUACAAUGAUUCCUGUGACCAGAGUAACAAUUGUAAACAUUAGGGCAAGAAAAAAUAAAACAUGAGGGUACGAUGUGUUCCACCCUCCUUUUCCCCCAGCUGGAACUUUGUCAAGCAGCAUUGGAGGUUGGUCGGGCUUCGCCACAGGGCCACACCCCAGACCUGCCAGUCCCAGGAGCAGGCCCCACAGGAACCCACAGGGUCACCCAGGGCCAGGCCAGGGCCAAUCAAAACCUGAGGUCAGAAAAGCAGAAGUGUGCCCUGCUUUCUCCCAUGUCUAGGGCAUGGGAAACUAGCCCCGGCCAGGGCAGGGCAGGACACCGGCCACAUAGCUGCAGGACUGAGGUCUGGAGAGGUCAGUGUCACCCAGAGAGAGGCUGAGGCAGGGUCUCCCCCAGGCCCCUCUGUGGGCUCCUGCUCCUUCUGUUUUCCUUUCACCAAAGCUUCAGCCUCAGACCCAUUAUGUCCCGUCACGCGAUCCUGUGGGUGCACCUCCCCUGGGCUGCAUGGCCCUCACCUGAGGAGCCUGGCCACAGAAGUGGACAGGUGGCCCUGCACUGGUGAGGUGGGGACAAACGGGACCCAGUCCAAAUCCAUGUACAAGUGGAGAAGGGACACCCUUGAGCCCUUGUCUUUCCACCCUCCCGGCGGCACAAAGCAGCCUUGGUGGGUUCGUGAAGGAGGCCUGGUCCCCAAGCCAGUUCCUGGGCCUCUCUUGUCUCUCACAUGAACGGUGGGAUUUCCAGUUUCAUCUGCUCCUGCCCAGCCCCUCCUGAGGAUUUGCGAGAGGGAUGAGGAUGGAGGGGCUGGGUAGGGUGGUGGCUGCUGCUGUGCUCGGUGCCCCUCCCAUGUCCCCAGAGGUGUGACGCUGUGCUGGAUGGGACAGCCACCCUUGGGGGGCCACCGUGGCUGCCACCUCCCUGGCUGGCAGAAGGAGCAGAGCUUCCUGGGUCUCUGUCCUGCAAGGCUGCACCCUGGGCCUGCCCUGGGGUCCGGGCUUCCAAGGGGGACACGGGGUCUGUGCUGGACAGAGGACAACAGAGGCUGCACAUUGUGCCCCCUUCGUACCCCCACAGUUUGCCUGGCUUUACUGUGUUCUUACCCUGAGCCUGCAGGAGCCAGGAAGGAGAGGGAAUCAGGUGGCCCUUGGGCCUGAGGAGGGAGCACCGAGGGAGAGGGAGGCAGGAUGGUUCCAGGCUUGGAGGGGUGCAAGAGGCAGAGGGAGGCGCCAGCCUGUUGCUUUCACAGGGGGCGGGGUGUGGCUGUGGACGUGGGGUGCAGCUGGUCCUAGAGAUGAAGCCUGAAGGACACAGACCACCUGCCAAGUGGGCGGCAGACAGUGGUGUGGCCAGAGCCCUCCCGCCCACGUCCACGAGGCUGGCAGAUUCCGAUGCUGCACCUGACACAUCUGUUCAGACCCCUUCCUCUUUGGAAAUGCACCUCGCCACAAGCUUCCUCUUUCCCUUCCAUCCUCCAUGGGCCUGGGGAGGCGACAGCAGCUUCUGGCUGUCCUGUCUGGGCUGCACCCCCAGCACCCCAGGACUGGGUGCCACCCUCAGGGUGCAGGCUGCUCCUGCACAUCUGGCCCUGGGCCUGGGACCUCGUGGGCCAGCUGGGGUGGGGCGGCCCCCUCUGCCCUUGCUCAGGCUGCUACAUUCUCGUCCGCAGCACUUCCGUAGCCCUGACAGGAAAUGCUGCAGUCUCAACCUCCGCCAUCUCAGGCAACUUCUUGUUUCCCAGUUGCCCUGUGCUAGCCCUGGGGUUGUGCCCCUUGGCUCCACCCCCAGCACUUUCCCAGGGCCCGGUCCCAGCAGCUCAGAGGGGACAGGAUGGUGGACGUGAUUGCUAAACUGACCAGGAGGCAGAGCCAGGCCCUGCGGGUUCAGAGUGACCGGCGACCCCAGCCACCUGCUUCCUCCGCGGGGCGGGCACUCGCCCUCCUUCCCCCUCCACGAGCCCUGGCUGUGGAUGCUGAUGCCUGCGACUCCCACACUGGAAAGUGCAGGCCCCACCCAGAAGGGUUCGGACCCCAGGGCUCCCUGGGCUGAGC